UACGAAGGGGGCUAGCGUUGCUCGGAAUUACUGGGCGUAAAGGGCGCGUAGGCGGCACUGUUAGUCAGGCGUGAAAGUCCUGGGCUCAACCUGGGAACUGCGCUUGAUACGGCAGAGCUAGAGGAUGGAAGAGGGUCGCGGAAUUCCCAGUGUAGAGGUGAAAUUCGUAGAUAUUGGGAAGAACACCGGGUGGCGAAGGCGGCGACCUGGUCCAUUACUGACGCUGAGGCGCGACAGCGUGGGGAGCAAACAGG
This 254-nucleotide ribosomal RNA is filed under the name uncultured bacterium. RNAcentral describes it as "partial 16S ribosomal RNA". It matches the Rfam family "Bacterial small subunit ribosomal RNA", at positions 524 to 776 of the family's 1533-position model. The record is from RNAcentral.